Molecule: small RNA, 39 nt
Filed under: Arabidopsis thaliana (thale cress)
Lineage: Eukaryota; Viridiplantae; Streptophyta; Magnoliopsida; Brassicales; Brassicaceae
Description: ATSL142900
Source: RNAcentral
CGGUGGAGUUCUCGGAUAUCUCUUAAUCGCAUGUAACGG